CACUAGCGUAUAUUAAAGUUGUUGCAGUUAAAAAGCUCGUAGUUGGAUUUCUGACGUGGUGCGCCUGGUCCGCCCCGUAAAGGUGUGUGAGUACCGGCGUGCGCCUGUCAUCCUUCCGCAGAGCGUGUCUACCCUUCACUGGGCCGGGCAUCGCGAUGUGGAUCGUUUACUUUGAAAAAAUUAGAGUGUUCAAAGCAGGCUUACGCUGUGAAUACAUUAGCAUGGAAUAAUAAGAUAGGGCUUUGGUUCUAUUUUGUUGGUUUCUAGGACUGAAGUAAUGAUUGAUAGGGAUAGUUGGGGGUGCUAGUAUUCAACGGCCAGAGGUGAAAUUCUUGGAUUCGUUGAAGACUAACUUAUGCGAAAGCAUUCACCAAGGAUGUCUUCUUUAA
Molecule: ribosomal RNA, 389 nt
Filed under: uncultured eukaryote
Lineage: Eukaryota
Description: partial 18S ribosomal RNA
Rfam family: Eukaryotic small subunit ribosomal RNA
Source: RNAcentral